UACAGUUAUGUGACUGUAUUCUGUAAAUAACCGUAUCACUUAAAAUAUGGUUGAUACAGUGAUACGGUUAUUUACAGAAUACAGUCACAUAACUGUA
Pelobates cultripes (western spadefoot toad) is the source of this 97-nucleotide non-coding RNA. NCBI's taxonomy places the organism in Eukaryota, Metazoa, Chordata, Amphibia, Anura, Pelobatidae. The record is from the annotation of a GenBank genome assembly.